RNAcentral lists this ribosomal RNA (253 nucleotides) under uncultured bacterium. RNAcentral describes it as "partial 16S ribosomal RNA". It matches the Rfam family "Bacterial small subunit ribosomal RNA", at positions 524 to 776 of the family's 1533-position model. The record is from RNAcentral.
UACGUAGGGUGCAAGCGUUGUCCGGAAUUAUUGGGCGUAAAGAGCUCGUAGGCGGUCCGUCACGUCGGCUGUGAAAACCCGGGGCUCAACUCCGGGCCUGCAGUCGAUACGGGCGGACUAGAGUACUGCAGGGGAGACUGGAAUUCCUGGUGUAGCGGUGAAAUGCGCAGAUAUCAGGAGGAACACCGGUGGCGAAGGCGGGUCUCUGGGCAGUAACUGACGCUGAGGCACGAAAGCCAGGGGAGCAAACGGG